GAGUCACCCUACUAUACAGCAGAAAAAAAAUAAUGUAUUCAGGAAAUAAAAAUAAAUAAAUGAAAUUAAACUAAAAAGUAAAUAUAAUUCUCUCAGUAUAAUCAUCUAAUGUAUGAGGUAACUUCGUCACCAGCCUUUACUUAUUGUAAAACUGAUUUUACCGGCUUUGCCUUUUUAAAAAGAACUUUCAUCAUUAAUAGCUUCUAAAUUAUCUAAAUUUUUACAAGUUCCUGCUGUGGCACAGUGGGUAAAAAGUCUGACUAUAGCUGCUUGGGUUGGUGUGGAGGUGCAGGUUCCAUCCCCAGUCCAGUGCAGUGGGUUAAAGGGUUCAUAGUUGCCAUAGCUGCAGUGUAGCCCUCAGCUGUGGCUUGAAUUCAAUCCCUGGCCCGGGUACUUCCAUAUGCCACAGGUGCGGCCAUAAAAAAUUAAAAAUAAAUAAGUAAAUUUUUAUAAAGCUUCUUCAGUAAAUAAAGUAUAUUCUUCUUCUUUUUUUCCCCCCAUUAUUACUUACCAGAGAGAGAGAAAGUACUUUCAUAAGAAGGUGCCUUAUGUGAAUCCCAGAAAUAGCCUUGCAUCUCCUUUUCCUGUAUCCCAUCAAUUCCCUGCAAUUACUCUCCCAAACAUUCAAAACAGAAAGAAGCAUCAUAAUGCUGUAUAUUCCAUUUCUUUAAGACAACUCCACAAGUACAUAUUCCAGUUGUAUUUUCCCCUAUAUAAAUACAUCUUUUGGCCAGUUUCCUACUCUAAGAAACAUGGAUUGAUGUAAAGUACUAAGUCACAUCAAGUAUGUAAAGGUAUUCAUUUCCAUGUCUGGAAAGUUUAUAGAUCCUUUUAAAUUUUAUAUCUAAUAUUUUAUGAAUCUAGAUUAAUUCUUUUUUUUAAAGUCUAAUUUUUGAAAUUGCAUUUAAAAAGAGCAGGACAGUUUUCAAAUAUACGCAAAGUAAUUUAUAUAUAUUCUAGCAUGUGAAAUAGUGCAUGACACUCAUCUGUUGAAUAAAUGAAUGAAUAACUAUAUAAUACAUAUUCAGGAUCUAGAUUAAAGUAAGUUUUAAAGCAAAAUCAACAGAAAUUAAGAACUUAAAUCAUAUUUAUUUUUAAAUUUUAAAUUGACUAUUGAAGUAUUUUGAAACAGAAAUAAAACCACCAUUUUAAAACAAAAUGUUAGAAAUAUGUAGUUUUCCUUUACUUAAAAAGAAAAAAAAGUAGCUUAUACUAAUGGAAAAAAAACAUAUCACACAUAACAAUAUAACUAACUGUAAACAAUUUGUUUCUUAGGUAUCUUUCAAGAAAAAUAACACACAUAUUCGUGCGGUUGUUUGUGUGUGAAUAUGUGUGUGUGUGUUGUGGGUAUUACUGUGUUUACAUGUUGUAUUUUACAAAGACAACAGUGUUCAAACUAUAUACAUAGUUAUUUUCCUUGGGUUUUUCACUGAAAAAAUUAAAAAUAUGUUCACAUGAACACAUAAAAAAAUUUUAAAUUUUUAUGGCUGUAUAAAUUCCAUUUUGUAGAUGAUGUGUAAUGUAAUCACCCCACAAAUACAGUCUGAUUUUAGGAAUCUAACAUUGCUUGUAAGAAUUCUGCUUUCAUCAAAUCACUGGUUUCUUUCAAAAACUUGCAAUUGCUUAACUGUCAUAUUAAUCCACAAAUUCCCUUAGGCCUUGAGAGUAAGUCCUCCCCUACCCUAAAAAAAUCAAAUACUCUUUUCUAGUAUUGCAAACAUUCAGUCUAUUUCAGUAGCAACUACCUCAUGAUUUUCUACACUUUUAUACAUUUUCCAUCCUUGCUUAUUUUCAUCUUUUUAGCUACACAAAUUCCUCUAUCAGGGCACCUCAAGGCCUUUCUCCUACAUAAUAAAACCUUCUCUAGAUAUGAAGCCCAUAACCAUUUCCAUUGUAUUUUUGGUCUGUUUCAUGUGUUCUACAACUUAAAUAUUUUCUAAAAAUAUCACAUGUAUUAGGUAUUGAUCUUCUGAAACAGAAAGAAUACUAGAACAAGAGGCAGACAGAUUUGUUCUAAUGCUAGCUUUGUUUAAUUCCUAGGAUCUGAUUUCUAGUGUUGCUUCUUUCCCCAAAUCAUUUUUAAGGUCCUUGAAAAUAGGCAAAUUACUCUUAUAUUUCUCAUGAACACACUUUCAUAUGAAGGUCAUCAAUAAGAGUUGUUGAUGGAGUGAAUGAGUGAAAACAUACAUUUAAAAAUAAACAACUUUUUAAAAAUUUUGUUAAUUUUUUGAGUAACACAAUGAAUGAUACAUAAUUAAUGGUUUUUACAUACCAAAGCCUUUUUCUACUUUUUUUUUGUUUUUAUAGUGUUAAUUUGCACUAAUUGCAUUAAUUUAUGAUUUUAUUUUAAAGGAUAUAUUUGCAUAUAGGUUUUUAACCCUAAACCUUUUAUACACACACUCACUCACACAGACUCUCUAAGGGUAUGGUGGAGAUAAGAGGAGACAGAAAAAGAGAAAAAGAUGAUGUUUUCAAAAGGAUCAUUUUUAUUGUCAGCCUGGCAUCCUCCUUUCCUGCAGAAACAAAGUUCCCUAACGUCUCUUUGUCAGGUGAAAAACUUUCAGAUUAUUCUAAAAUUGCUGGGGAUAGAUUAUACGAAACUUUGAAAGCAACACUGUAAUUCAGAGUGUAGACUCACAUGCACUAAGUAUAACAGCAUUAGAAGUUGAAAUUUACUCAUAGGAGAUUAUAGUUAUCAAAAUAUGAUGAGAAAAAGACAAACUGUGAUUGAUCAUCUCAUGCUUUAUCUACAGAGAACAAAAUGUUAAAAUAUUGGAGAAUAUAUUAACAAUUUAUUCCAUUAAAUUUAUAUUUUAAAUGAUUUGUAAUAUUAAUAUAGAAAAAUAAUAAAUAAAAGCAAAUAUAGCUUAGGUUAGAUUUACCAAAAGUCAUGCAAAUCAUGCCCUUGUCCACAUGAUUUCAAUUUAGCUGACCUAUGUUUUUGAAAAGUAAAACAAACAGAACAAGAUAAAUUGAUGUGUUAGAUAUGGUAGGUUUAUAAGCACAGGAAAAUGACAAAUUUCUUUGAAAACAAUAGUAAAGAUUCCAUUCAGCCAGGAAACUAUUGAGCACAUGGAAAAUAAAAGCACUUGAGUUGUAUCGAAGAGUACUCAAUUAUACCAUUUUCCCCAUCUUGUCACAGGUGUAAUGAGAACAUGCUAUGUUUGUAUGACUACCAGAAUGACAAUGCUUUCUAGAAUUCUAUAAUUUUACCACAUUAUUCAGCUUCUAAAUGAUGUUUCACAUCUGAUUUCACCUAUGGACAAGGUGAAUGAAAGCCAGUAUCCAGGUAUGCUUCUAUAUCCUUUUAAUCUACAUUAAAACUGCCUCCAUGACUUACCAGCUCCUCAGAGUGUUUCAGGACAUGACUUGACUCAGGACACAUUGAACCUGGAGAGCUUCCCAUCCCCCCAAAUAAUGGCAUUAUCCCCCAAAUAAUGACAAAUACGAAUAUUUUCUCUGGAAGAAAAGGGGUCCUAAAUAUUAAGAAGGUAGUAAUAAAGAAAGGAUCUAUUUUGAGACCUAACAAUACCCAACUGGUGAUCAGAUACCAGUGGGAAUUAUUAAAGAUGAUAUGUUGUUUUCCCUGAAUUACAACAGAGGAAAUUUUUCCUGGUAUUGCAUAAUUAUAGAAACUGACAUGUUUACUUAUGGACAACAGUAAAGAGAAGCAAUAUAAAACCACUAUCAGGUCUUGAGUAUUCUAAUGUGAAAACUUACUUGCAGAGUAUUAAAAAGCAUGAAAUACAAAAACAUAUGUAAGAUUUACUGUAAACUAACUUUAGGCCUGGUAUUAUUUUAAAGGCAACUAGGCCUAUGAAAACAGAAGACAUGAAGGUAUAAAAUUAGGUUACUAUGUUUUCCUUUAUUUCCUUGUUCCCACCUCCAGUUCUAAGACACUAUUCCUAUAGAGUAUUCCCUUUGCUUGCUUUCAUAUGCAAUCAAAAAUAUAUUUUUCAAUAAUAUUAGCAGACUAGAGCUGUAUAGACAGCUAUUCUAUUGAAUACUCAUUUUCAGAUCACUGGUGCUUCACGAAGGAGUCCAAUAUAAUCCAUUUGCUGAUUCUGCAUAUGCCCCUGUCUUCAGAGAAAUGUGCCUAAAAUUAUCUCCAGAUUCUUUUUUCCCAUAGGCACGGAGUGCAGUUCAGAUUAGUGGCUUCAGCAGCUGUAUGUGAGAGAAGUAUGCCCAUCUUUUCUUUGUUUGGAUGUUCGCAAGUUCCCUUAUUUCAUGAUCUCAAGUAGGAAUUCUAUGAAUUCCUGCAUCAUCUAAGACCUUGCAUUCCAGUCUACUGGCUCAGCACCAGGUGUGUUUGAUUUGUUUUUUAGGAGUAUCCUACGUGAACUUUUUAAUCUUCCUCAAAGUUCCCAUAGAAGUUUCCAUGAUUUAGUAUGCAAGAUGAGAAUAGUUUUAUUUUGCAGUUAUCUAGGGCCAAUCUACUUGACCACACAGCAAGACCACUGGGCUUGAGAGCCUGUGAACAUCUGAAGAUAUCACUGAGGCUGUGAGCUGAAUUCCACCUGCAAGGCUAAAUAUGGGACACUUGAUAACAUCUGUCAUAUGGAUGGAUUUCCCCUUUAUCUUCUUCAACAGAGUUUUACUGUCUUCAGGAGUUAUUACAACUGAUUUGCAAGCAAAAACAUGGCCUUCAUUCUAGAAACCUCAUCAGUAAUCCAAAUAGCCUCUUUUAAUUUGCCCAGGAAUUAAUCAAAUACUCUAGAUCUGGCUGUUCAAUUAGCAGCCACUAGACAUAACUGAUUAUGUUAGCUAACCUCUCUUUCCUUUUUAUUUCUUUUUUUCUUCUUCUUUUUGUUAUUCUCUUUCUCAUUUUCAUGGUUUCUGUAGAGCAUAUAAUAUGCAACUUUAUAUUAUCUCAUUCUAGUACCUUCAACUAUCAUACCAUUUCAUAUAAAACAAAAAAAAUUGUAUCUUCCUCCUCUCCUUUGUACUAUUGUCAAAUGUCAAACUUCUAUUUGUACAUACAAUAAAUGUAACAAAAUGCCAUUACAAAUUCAUUUAACAUUUCUAUUUAUAAGCAGCUGAUUGCCAAGAAGUCUUUAAUUUUUUUGUGUGCUUAAAAAUUAUCUCAGAGAGUUCCUGUUGUGCAUCAGUGGUUAACAAACCUGACUAGUAUGCAUGAGGAUGUGAGUUCGAUCCCUGGCCCCGCUCAAUGGCUUAAGGAUUUGGCUUUGCCCUUAGCUGUGGUGUAGGUCACAGAUGUGGCUCAGAUCUGAUUUUGCUGUGACUGUGGUAUAGACCAGGAUCUACUGCUCUUAUUCAACCCCUAGUCUGGGAACUUUCAUAUGCUGUGGGUGAAG
This 5315-nucleotide long non-coding RNA is filed under the name Sus scrofa (pig). RNAcentral describes it as "lncRNA (ENSSSCG00060025554.1)". The record is from RNAcentral. Lineage: Eukaryota; Metazoa; Chordata; Mammalia; Artiodactyla; Suidae.